AUUGCCUGUAACAUAUUUCUUUGAACAACCGUUAAAGCUCUUUAAUCAGUAUCCUUUUCCUUUUCCGAUUCUAUGUUUCUUGUCAUUAUGGAAGGAGAGUUUCUUUACUCUUCAAGGUAUUAUCUGAAGACGUCUCUCAAGCUCCAAGUUCAUGAAGAAUAUUUAUGAAGAUGGCAAAAAGAAGAAGUGAAACAAGUCACAAGAAGAUCUCAUACAAGAACUCAACAAUAGGAAGUUGCUUGGCGAUUCGAAAGGUGAGAUGCCAACACAUCAUUAUGCGAGAUAAUUUCCUAAAAGACAAGAGUGGUAGUUGGAUCUGAUGUGACAGGAAACGUCUACUUUCUAUGUUGACAAUUUUAGAAAGGAUGGAUGUGCAGUGUAGCAUAAUUAAUUUCUUGCCUAAGUAUGCUUAUAAAAGACUCCAUCUCCACCAUAAGCAAGGGAUCUAAGGAGGUUCUCCCUUAAAGAAGAUCGGUGAAAGGAUGAGUUUUAGAGUCUUUCUCCAUCUUUAGUAGUAGUUCUUCGUCUUCCAUGUCUGCUCUAAUCUACAUAUGAGUGGGAGCUUAGAGAGAGAUUAUAGAGGAAAAACUCACCCACAGUUUACUUUCCAUUUUUCUAUUUUGUAAUGUCUUAUUUGACUAUAAGAUUCUCAUGACCGAGAUGCCUACAUUUAUCAAUACAUGUGUAUGUUUAUCCACU
Cucumis sativus (cucumber) is the source of this 699-nucleotide long non-coding RNA. RefSeq lists it as uncharacterized. The record is from RefSeq and is a predicted model, not a curated record. The transcript has 2 exons. Lineage: Eukaryota; Viridiplantae; Streptophyta; Magnoliopsida; Cucurbitales; Cucurbitaceae.